Long non-coding RNA from Passer domesticus (house sparrow), 2449 nucleotides. RefSeq lists it as uncharacterized. The transcript is spliced from 3 exons. The record is from RefSeq and is a predicted model, not a curated record. Lineage: Eukaryota; Metazoa; Chordata; Aves; Passeriformes; Passeridae.
CAGCCAGCUGAGCAGCAGAGGGAUGCUGCACCCUGGGAAAGGAGGCAGAGCAGCUGCCCUUCCUCAGAGAUCAUGUUUAAAGCAAUCCUUGUGGGUUUGCCCUACAUCAGAUUGUUGUUUUAGCCCUGGUUCUCCAGACCUGGAUUUCCAUCAGGGAAUGACUCUCCAAUGUGUACAUGCUCAUCUGGCUCACUGCAGCAUGCCCUGGCUGUGACACUGGGAAUUGGCUCUUUCCAACUCUCUCCAGCUCCAGGUGUGUCUCUGCCAGGAGGCUCCAGUGCAACAUUCCUGCCUCCAUCACUGGGCUGGAUUUCUGCCUUUUUUCCUUUUCCUCCUCCCACCAGAUUUGCAUGCACAGAAGAAUCACAAGAACAGAAGGUGAAGCUAGAUCUUUCUCCCCAUUUUUUUUAAAUUUUAUUUUGGCAUCCAUUGCCUGCUUUUUGCCAAACUGCUCCAGUUCCUCUUCCCCAGUGCCCACGCUGCCUGCCCAGCAUGGGGGACACGCAGUGCCAGGCAUGGUGGCCAUCAAUUCCCUGCAAGAGGAGGAGGUGCCAGAAACACCAACCCAAAAGCCAGGGGAACACCUGUGUGGGUUUGGAUCACCCUCUGACGAGGAGCUGGUGCACCAGCAGCUGAGCUGAGGUCGCUGCUGUCUCCCAGUGGGUGGGAAAGGCUCAUCACACGGGUGGAAGCCUUGGAGCUCCCCACCUGCAUCCUCACUGCCUCUCCUAAAUGCAGUCAGCGUGUUUCAUCAUCCUUCCCACCUUUCUUUGACGCCUUCCCAGCUUUACUACAUCCCUUUCCACCUGUGCAGUGCGCGGUGUGUGGGUGCACGGGGAAUUCAUCCAGUGGCAGCGUGACUGGGGCUGUUGAGUUCUGUUCUUCUCUGAGUAAUCCCUAACACUCAAGAUGCGUUUUUUCUUUUAUCUCUGCUGAGCAAUGAGCUGAUGUUUUCAGAGAACUAUCUAUUAUAACCCUGAGAUCUUGUUCCUGAAAGUUAAUAGUCAGCUCAGAGCCCAUCAUUUUAUUUCUGAAGCUGGGGUUGGCUUCUCCCACGUGCGCCACUAUUUAUCCGCACUGCAUUUCUCCUGUCACUUUCUUGGCCAGUCACUCACUUCAAGGUCCUUCUGCAAUUCCUCACGGUCACUCCUCGUCCGUAAUACCCUAAAUAAUUUGGAAGCAUUAACAAAAAGCUUUCAUUUCAGUCUCCACUCCCUUCUUGUCCCAGGCAGGCUCUAUAUAGGGUCUAGGAGAAAUUUUGGGGAAACUCGUGGACCCACAGAAAAACUGUGUCCCAUGGAAAGGGAUGGGAGAGAAGAGCCCAUGUGGCUGCCUGUGGUCCUGAUGGCCAUCAGCAUCUGGAGACAGUGGGGACAGGCUCCAGGCAACCCAAGUGACAGAUAUCUGCAGGGACAACUUGUUUUGAUACAUUACCCCCAAGAUUCAUCAGUGAAUGGGAUUGAAGAGCCUUUAAUGACCAUAAAGAGUGAAAAAUUCCAGUGGAGGAAUGGCCGUGGCUUUCCUACUCAAGCAGAUGCUCAUCAGAAUUGGUACUCUCCAGGGAAUCGCUCCAGAAGGUGGAUGGAAUAAAGUGAUUUUCAGUAUUAAAAAAAUAAAAAGAGAGACAUCAGAGCUCCUGGAAGCUGUUCAGUUGGCACCGGGAAGGCUGCGAAUAACAGACGCCCAAGGGAACCAAUGUUUGAAGCCAAAGCAAUUUGGGUAACAGGACAGGCUUGAGGGGAAAAAACCACACAGCUUUUGGAUUCUGCUGCACAUUGAUACUAAAAAAGAAGCCACACAUGUUGUGAAUGUACAGCCCAGGAACACAUUUUGUAGACACAUUCCUAACGUGGCACGUGGUGUGCUCGUUCCUAUUAUUGAUAAUAGUUAACUGCAGCUCCUCCUCCUGCUUUUCCCUGCUCAGCCAUGGAAAACAUGGGAUCCAGAUGCUGUUAAACAGCUUUAGAAAUUUCCAGGUGAACAUAUAGUGGCUGUUUUGAGGGUCUGCCUUGGAUUCACACGGUUUACAGUGCAGAGCAGCUGUGUGCAGGGAGGGAUGGAUCCAUUUGUUUCCCAUAUUGCCACCUAAAAGGGAGGGCUACAUUCCAUCCAAGUAGCUCUGGCAUUGGCUUUAUUUGACCAGUGAGGCCAUAUAGCAAGAACGACAGGAUUCAAUCUGACCAGAAGCACUUCUCUUAAAAUGUCAGAUGAUGCCUUGGGCCCCCACAGAGCUGGGAGGAUGUUUUCCUUCUGCAAACCAGAAUCAAACCUCUCCAUUCCUCUUUAUCUCACUUAUAAGCCCAGGGGAAUCCCUGGGAAGCUGGUGAUAAAUCAACCUUUCUUUUGGAGGAGAGGAAGAAGUGUUCUUCAUCUUCCUCUCCCCAAGCCACAGUCUAGCCUCUGUGCUCUUCACGUGUCUGUCUGUGUAAAGGGACAAGGGACAUGUUAC